Long non-coding RNA from Apis florea (little honeybee), 930 nucleotides. Lineage: Eukaryota; Metazoa; Arthropoda; Insecta; Hymenoptera; Apidae. The record is from RefSeq and is a predicted model, not a curated record.
UUUAUAUAUAAGUAAUUUGAUUAAUUGAAUAUUAAUACAAUAAUACAAGUUAUAUUUUUUGAAAACUUGAUAAAUCAAUAUGUUGAUAGAAGCUACAACAAUCUUUGAGAUAUUAAAAAAGAGUAUAACUCAAAAGAAAGUUGAGAGACCCUGAUCUCUCAACUCUGAUCCAAGAGUAAAGUCAGUAGAGUCAAUUUCGAAACAAUAUCUUUUGUUUCGAAGAAAUCUGGCAUCAAGCACGAAGACAAACCUAAAUUUCACCAUUGCUAACUCGAACAAACGGCAACAUACGUUAAUAUACUGAGGACACAAAGCGAUAUCAAAGUCCGAAAGCCGAGAACAUUGCUGUACCACAAAGUAGAAUCUUCUGACUUGUCAACUACAGAUUGAGUACUGUACGUACAUUCCCGGUUGACUUCUAAAGGACUGGCAUACAAUCGCUGGAAGUGGAUACUGUAUUCAACCAGACGGCUGUCAUCCAGCUGUACCCUGGCGAUUAGCUCCAAACACAAGAAUUAUUCUCCAUCAUUUUUAUGAAGUGAAAAAUCAAAAUCCCUAAGGAAUUUCUAGAUAAAUCUUUCCAAACAAACAACUUACGAUCUUUGAAUCACACAACUUUUGAAGGUUACUGUACAUACAUAUAGAUAUGCAAAAUUUAAAGCUCAAGAGUUAUACGGUUCCACGAUUCCACCCACGUCAAGGAUCAUUUCCAAGUAUCACCCUCCAUCGCCCACGCAGCAAACUAAAAUCCCUAAACGAGAAGUUGUACGAAUCUUCCUAAACCGGAAGUGACAACCACCGUCCAAACGUUCCAUCACGUUGCACUGAAACGAGUGGUUAGUUAACCUUGACGAUGAGACCUUUGAUUACAGUCAAACACUGCUGCCUACGUGUUCAUUACAAGAUUCGAUUUCACGAUGUUAAGAUCAG